GAUGAACGCUGGCGGCGUGCCUAAUACAUGCAAGUCGAGCGAACAGAUGAGGAGCUUGGUCCUCUGACGUUAGCGGCGGACGGGUGAGUAACACGUGGAUAACCUACCUAUAAGACUGGGAUAACUUCGGGAAACCGGAGCUAAUACCGGAUAAUAUAUUGAACCGCAUGGUUCAAUAGUGAAAGACGGUUUUGCUGUCACUUAUAGAUGGAUCCGCGCCGCAUUAGCUAGUUGGUAAGGUAACGGCUUACCAAGGCAACGAUGCGUAGCCGACCUGAGAGGGUGAUCGGCCACACUGGAACUGAGACACGGUCCAGACUCCUACGGGAGGCAGCAGUAGGGAAUCUUCCGCAAUGGGCGAAAGCCUGACGGAGCAACGCCGCGUGAGUGAUGAAGGUCUUCGGAUCGUAAAACUCUGUUAUUAGGGAAGAACAAAUGUGUAAGUAACUAUGCACGUCUUGACGGUACCUAAUCAGAAAGCCACGGCUAACUACGUG
Molecule: ribosomal RNA, 497 nt
Filed under: uncultured bacterium
Lineage: Bacteria
Description: partial 16S ribosomal RNA
Rfam family: Bacterial small subunit ribosomal RNA
Source: RNAcentral